This 774-nucleotide ribosomal RNA is filed under the name uncultured Neocallimastigales. RNAcentral's name for it is "partial large subunit ribosomal RNA". It matches the Rfam family "Eukaryotic large subunit ribosomal RNA", at positions 23 to 644 of the family's 3401-position model. Lineage: Eukaryota; Fungi; Neocallimastigomycota; Neocallimastigomycetes; Neocallimastigales. The record is from RNAcentral.
GAGACUCUGUGCGCGUGCAUAUCAAUAAGCGGAGGAAAAGAAACUAACAAGGAUUCCCUUAGUAACGGCGAGUGAAGCGGGAAGAGCUCAAAUUUGAAAUCUUCAAGGUUUUACCUUGACGAAUUGUAGUUUAAAGAAGUGUUUUCUGUUGAAGUUUUGGUAAAAGUUCUUUGGAAUAGGACAUCAUAGAGGGUGAGAAUCCCGUAUUUGACCAUUAUUUUCAGCUGUGUGAUACACUUUCAAAGAGUCGGAUUGUUUGGGAAUGCAGUCCAAAAUGGGUGGUAAAUUUCAUCUAAAGCUAAAUAUUGGCGAGAGACCGAUAGCGAACAAGUACCGUGAGGGAAAGAUGAAAAGAACUUUGAAAAGAGAGUUAAACAGUACGUGAAAUUGUCAAAAGGGAAGCGUUUGACACCAGUGUUGUUUUCUCGAAAAUCAAUUAAAAAGAGUUGGAUUUUGUGUUGUAUUGACCUUAACAGCUUGCUUCACUCUUUUCCUGCUUUUUUUAAUGCACUUUUCGUUUAACAAGUCAACAUCAGUUUCUUUUGUUGUAAAAGGGUCAUUGGAAGGUGGCCUUCUCUUCGGAGAAAGUGUUUAUAGCCUUUGAUCUCUGCAAUCGGAGAGACUGAGGUCUGCAGCGUAGAUCCUUCGGGGUUAGAUACAUUUGUGCUAAGCUACAGCUUUUCAUAGACAAUUUGUUGUCUAUGUUUAGUCUUGUGACUUACCCGCUUAUGCUAUUUUACCUACGCUUAGGAUGUUGAAUCUGUGCGAGACUAC